This 400-nucleotide ribosomal RNA is filed under the name Boophis madagascariensis (Madagascar bright-eyed frog). Its description in RNAcentral is "partial 16S ribosomal RNA". It matches the Rfam family "Bacterial large subunit ribosomal RNA", at positions 2032 to 2597 of the family's 2925-position model. Lineage: Eukaryota; Metazoa; Chordata; Amphibia; Anura; Mantellidae. The record is from RNAcentral.
AUCGGUGAAACUGAUCUCUCCGUGAAGAAGCGGAGAUGUACAUAUAAGACGAGAAGACCCCAUGGAGCUUUAAACCCAACGACACCCGCCCCCCUCCAAAUCCUACUAUUUACCCGGUGAUUGUUUGUUUGGUUUUAGGUUGGGGUGACCGCGGAGUAUAAGAUAUCCUCCAUGAAAAAAAGCUAACUGCCCUUAUUAGAGAAAGACACUUCCAAAAAAUAAUAAAUUAAUUUUAAAUGAUCCGACAUUCGAUCAACGAACCAAGUUACCCUGGGGAUAACAGCGCAAUCCGUCCCGAGAGCCCCUAUCGACAGGCGGGUUUACGACCUCGAUGUUGGAUCAGGGUAUCCUAGUGGUGCAGCAGCUACUAAAGGUUCGUUUGUUCAACGAUUAAAACCCU